AAUCUCGUAUUUAAUUACUCUCCUCGCUAUUUCCAUCAGGCAAAUCACGAUUUCACGGCCACCAGUCCUACAUUCGUCGACUAGUACAACAUCGUUCGACUCAAACAAUAUCGCCUCUGGUAUGUCGUGCCACCUACACCAGGUAUCCGCCAUCUCUUGGAUAUAAUUAGCCAGCUUACACAAGAGUGUGCCGUCUUCAAGUGCGUAGAAAAAUAACUCUGGAGUUAUGAUUAUCUCCGUGAAGAGUUUCGCAAGCCAUGCAGUCUCGUCUUCGAUCAUCGCGUAAAGUAGCUCAUUCUCCUUUUCCCAGCGUUGAAAACUUUGGACGCUGUUCGUUUUUAGCCGUCGCAAGUUGGCCCGAUUCCUCGGAGUACAUGUAACAUCUAAAGUGAGCUCAGAGCUGACGGGGGAGCCCAGGUCCAUUGUUGAUGCCUCAAAGUUCGGAUUUUCUGUGCAAUUGACAUAAAAUGAGUGUCUCCAUGCGUUCUUGGAGUUGGGAAAACUUUCCCGCUUCGUGCAAAAUACAAAUUAGCCUGAAAUCCGCGGGUUGUCUGACUGUAACGCAAAGUCAACGCAAAUGAGUGCUGGCGCUUCUGAUAGUCAUUAUCACAGUUCCCAACUGAUGAGGAAAUCUGUUUACGAAUUAAGAAGUCCACAUUCCCUCUGACAGCGAUGAAUAUCAAAACAACGUAAAAAUAACAAUCGGGUCGAUCGUGUACCGCAAGCUCAUCUCUGUGGAGCGUGAUGCUGAGUAUGAAUUGAUCACCCCGGGGAAUGCUAUAAGAGAUAAGUCAUCAACGCUAGCCAAUCAGGGUGCUUCUCAUAAAUCCCUAACUCGUCACUUGUAACGCAAUGUAUGAUUCCUGCGUGCGAGAAGACAGUGGAAAAAGUUAUCUCAACAAACAAACAAUAAUUAAACUCGCUACCGAUCGUUUCCAGCAAAAAAUGCAUUUACAAUUCGGUUAAAAUGUUUACGAGCUUUUUAAGGCAAGCUCGAGUUCUAAUUAUCAGGCAUUAUUUAUAAUUCCUGCUGAUUAGAAAAAGAUCAAAAAGGCUUUGCUAGGAUGCAUUGCCAACUUGCAAAAAUCCCAGGCAUUCAAACAAACUAAUUACUAAGACACGAAAAACUUGCGUUUUAAUGCAAUGUGUACAUUAAUCAUUAAUAAGUGCCCCUAAUGCAUUUUUGUCAAAAUACGUCGUAUAUUUUAAACCGGCGGUGAAAUGGCUUGUGCUAAAUUUAAACAUGAGCUAUAAAAUACCGGAUUCCCAAACUAUCCCCCAGAAAGGCUCAAAAGGCCAUUUUCUAAGAUUCAUUCUGUCACGGCCAUUGCAAUAACCAACGGUUAGGCGUCAGAAAUAAAUCACUUAUAGCCAUUCUAUUAUUCAGAAAGCCCUAUUUUUUAAAUACUUGGAAAGAUAAAAAAAAAAGGAUGGGUCGCCAAUACGAUACUGAGGUUUACUGCUAGAAAAGGCAACUUAUUGUAUCUUAGCCAAUAUCAGUCCAUGAGUAAUGGGAUCCGGGCCAACGCGACCAUUCAGAACUGUCAGAAUCUUCCACGGGCGGCUUCAGCCGAACUCUUACUGAAUAUAAAUCACCCCCACCUAACGAUUAAUGUUAUUAGAUAUGGUAUUAAGUGUUUUUCCACUUGAACACAAUUUUCGCAUGUGAAAGUCUGCGCGGGGAACAAGGUCGCAAUGUGGUGUUAACAAACACUCAACAAAACUGUUUUCCGGCAAAA
This is a long non-coding RNA of Nematostella vectensis (starlet sea anemone), 1739 nucleotides long. RefSeq lists it as uncharacterized. NCBI's taxonomy places the organism in Eukaryota, Metazoa, Cnidaria, Anthozoa, Actiniaria, Edwardsiidae. The transcript has 2 exons. The record is from RefSeq and is a predicted model, not a curated record.